This 89-nucleotide ribosomal RNA is filed under the name Candidatus Acetothermia bacterium. Its description in RNAcentral is "partial 23S ribosomal RNA". It matches the Rfam family "Bacterial large subunit ribosomal RNA", at positions 1 to 90 of the family's 2925-position model. The record is from RNAcentral. Lineage: Bacteria; Candidatus Bipolaricaulota.
GCAAGUAUGGUAAGGGCGGACGGUGGAUCCCUAGGCAGCCGGAGGCGAUGAAGGGCGUGGCCAGCUGCGAUAAGCCCCGGGGAGCCGCU